Long non-coding RNA from Herpailurus yagouaroundi (jaguarundi), 609 nucleotides. RefSeq lists it as uncharacterized. The transcript is spliced from 2 exons. The record is from RefSeq and is a predicted model, not a curated record. Lineage: Eukaryota; Metazoa; Chordata; Mammalia; Carnivora; Felidae.
CUAGGACAGCCUCUCCAUCCCCUGCUUCUGUCCCCAAAAAUACGGUGGUGAGAAUGCAUGCUCCUAUAAUCUUCUGGCAUUGAUAGAGACUCUAGCCUCAUGCUGCUUUUCCUUGUUGUGGUGGCUGCCACGUGCUGGUCUCUGGAGCACUGCCCUUUGUGCACCCAAUUGCUGAACAUUCUGCAGGAUACUGCUACUGAAAUGACUAGUUAAUAUGGAGUGUAGACUUUGGGCAGGAACAAUGUUCCUGAGCUACUGAUGAUGUACCAAGAAUUCUUCUGGCUGCAGAACACUGAGCUUCCUAUCACAUCUUCCACCUCAAAAGUUGGCCCAGCAGUCCAGUUCAGAGUUGAGUCAACUCACUCUGCUAUUGUAGGCAUACGGCAGCCCCCUGGGCUUCAACUCAGCAUCCACAGCAAAUAAAAACUCAGAGCAUCUUUGUAAAGACCUUUAGCCUGGAGAGGUUAAGGAGGUUUGAAAAUCAGAAGGAGACGGACUGGAAGAAAACUGCCUGGUCACAUCACAUCAUACUGGUCUUGGAUUCUCACAGAAGCAUCCUUAGUUAUUGUUAAAAUCCGUUACUGUAAUUAAAAAUCUGACAUUUUGGAA